GGCCCUCUAAUGCUACACCGAGAACAAUAUUUUCCUCCAAGGCAGAUCUUUUGAUUGGUGGCUGAGAGACUGGCAGCUUCUCAUCUUCCUGCUUUGAUUGGAAGGGUUCUCGUAAUCCUCCUGCUUUGUCAAUACCAGUUUCCUGCAAGGUCAAUGAAGGGUUCUCCGACUCGCUGCUCUGUGUGGCAUUUUUCUGUUGCUUGUCAGUGACCUUGUUUUUUAGCAGAUUAUCUGAGAUUGAAUCUGGAACUUUUGGGCUGGAACUAGAUGUUUCUGCAGCUUUAG
This 285-nucleotide long non-coding RNA is filed under the name Gossypium barbadense (sea-island cotton). RNAcentral describes it as "long non-coding RNA (GBAR_LNC011527)". Lineage: Eukaryota; Viridiplantae; Streptophyta; Magnoliopsida; Malvales; Malvaceae. The record is from RNAcentral.